Molecule: long non-coding RNA, 1938 nt
Filed under: Macaca nemestrina (pig-tailed macaque)
Lineage: Eukaryota; Metazoa; Chordata; Mammalia; Primates; Cercopithecidae
Description: lncRNA (ENSMNEG00000046053.1)
Source: RNAcentral
CUGAGGUCAGGAGUUUGAGACUGGCCUGGCCAAUAUGGUGAAACCCCUCCUCUGCUAAAAAUACAAAAAUUAGCUAGGCGUGGUGGUGUGUGCCUCCCAACUACUGGGGAGGCUGAGACAGGAGAAUUGCUUGAACCCGGGAGGCAGAGGUUGCAGUGAGCUGAGAUGGCGCCACUGCACUCCAGCCUGGGCGACAGAGCAAGACUCCAUCUCAAAACAAAAACAAAAAUGAAAACAAAAACAAAAACAGAACAAAAACAAAAUCGAGGGGGGGGUCUCCCCGGGACAGCUUGUGGCUUUAAAACAUUAUGCAAGAUGAAUCAUUCUUGAAAAGCCCCCUGGUUCGGGGAUGGUGACUCACGCCUGUAAUCCCAGCACUUUGGGAGGUGGAGGUGGGUGGAUCACUUGAGGCCAGGAGUUCGAGACCAGCCUGGCUAACAUGGUGAAACCCCAUCUCUACUAAAAAUACAUAAAUUAGCUGGGUGUGGUAGCCCACGUCUGUAGUUCCAGCUACUCCGGGGGCUGAGGCAUGAGAAUCGCUUGAACCUGGGAGGCCGAGGUUGCAGUGGGGCAGGCUUUGUCAAACUGCUGCCCCAGGAUACGGUCUUGAGGGUGGCUGUGGGGACACCCAGCACCUGCACCCCAAAGCCAUACGGUGUCAGAUUUUAGGAAGCGGUGGAGAACACUCGGUACCUUCUCGGUCCAGACAUCAAUAUUCCGGAGAGAACCAAAGCACCCACACUGGGCCCUCGCCAUCCUAACAGUCUGCCCACCUGUGAGAAACGCCCCCAAAUACUCUACAUUUCUUGGUUGGCCGAAAAGCAGCUCAGCGAGCAGUCUUACCUCCCAGGUGGGGUUUUCCCCCAGGGUAAGGAGGCCAGGGUCUGCAGGCCAGGGAGAGGAGCCCGGGUGCAGGAGCGGGCGGGGCAGCAGGAGGGCCCGCUCCAGCCACCCAGAAGUGGGCGUGGGCUAGAAUUCCGUUCCCAGCCUUCCAGAAGCUGCAAUUUUACAACCUCACAACAAGCGUCCCCUAGCAAAGCUGCACCGCCAUUUCCUGUGCUUGGGAACUGGAGGCAAGUGCGUCCUGUAGCCCCACAGGGGUUAUGCAUUCGAAUCAUCGACAUUCAGUUUGCAGUUCUUUCUGGAGGCACACGCCGAGACCCCAUUGCUGGGCUUGGUCAGAGACGAGCUUUGGCCAAUGUCAAGGGGAUGCCAGGACGAAAGCCCGUCUGAGCAGAGGCCACCAGAGGCCAGUGUUAAAGAAAAAAGACGUCAUGACACUUGUUAAAGCUUGGUAAGGAAGACUUCGACACCAGGAUGUCUCUAGUAGGGACUGGAAUGGUCCAGGAAUUCCUGCUGCUCCAGGAAUGAGCAGGCGAGUGGCUGAUCCACAGCCCACCUGAGAUGCCAGCGUUGGGGCAUGUUCUGGGCAUGUUUGUUACUGCAACAAAGCUGACUGAUGCAGCCUCUGCUGUUGCUUACCUUGGUCGUGCAGGGAGAGAAACUGAGUUCGCCCGGCACAUUGAUUAUAAGAUGUGUGCUUCUGGGUGGAAAGGGGCUUUGGAGAAACACUGAAUUUAAAUAGAGUCCCUGCUGCAUGGAAGACGGUCACCUGGCCUGCCCUUCCUGAGCGCCGAAAAGCUCAUCUUUGUGUUGGUCAACAUAAAAACGACAAAAGCACUGAAGGUGUCAACUAAUUUUCAAAACAAAACCUCUAAGUACAGUUCAGUGAUAGAGUGAGAUGCGUUGGAUUUGAUGUUGUUUAAGCAUGCUGUGGCCUGCCAGUGGGGAGAUGUGCAGGGAAUUUUUACCAUUGCAGCUCAUGAGGAAAUAAAAUGAUCACCACAAGCUUCACUAUAUAUAGAGUGCUUCGUGUGUGUGUGUGCAUGUGUGUGCAUGCAUAUGUGUGCCUGUAUGUGUGUGCCUGUAUGUGUGUGC